Long non-coding RNA from Dreissena polymorpha, 4524 nucleotides. RefSeq lists it as uncharacterized. The record is from RefSeq and is a predicted model, not a curated record. The transcript is spliced from 4 exons. NCBI's taxonomy places the organism in Eukaryota, Metazoa, Mollusca, Bivalvia, Myida, Dreissenidae.
CACAAACGGCCGGUGUAGCGUAAAAGAUGCAAGACCCGUAAAAUAUGCAAGUUCCGGUUCCGGUCAUGUGAAUUUUACGUUAGGCUCUGUAAAAAGGGCAAGACCCGUAAAAAGUGCAAGUCUUAUAUUGUUUUGCAAUGACUUUGGUAUUUAAUUGGAGAAAAACAUCACUAAUAAAGAGUGUGAAUGGGUCGACGUUCGUUUCUUCAAGAUUGGGCAAAAAAACAUUACCAUGCGGUUUGCAGUGCGCAGGCUACUGUCCCCCUUCAAGAGCACCCAGGUCAUACAAGCUGAACACGGUUGACCUGCACACCUAACAGUGGAAAUAAUGAAACAAGUGAUCACACAUCCACCCACUUUCUGCCCGGAACAACAGUUACAGUUACACUCUGAGAUAAGAACUGAACAGUCAAAACCGCAUAGCAGAUAUUUUUGACCUAAUCAAACACUGUUAGCCUUCUGUGCAAGGUCAUGAGGUGAAACCUGGAUGUAAGAAACAUUUUUAUCACAUGUUACGUUGGCAGUUCCUGUAAUUAUACUUGAACGGUUCAGAACAUACGUGUACAAAUAUGUCCAGCAAAAGACAUUUUAUGACAGACUUCAUUAUACUACAUAAUUGGAAUCAAAUUGCUUUCAGUAAAAAAAAUAUUGACAAUAGAAUAUUUAACCAUUUAGGUUUCGUAUCCAUAACUGCACACAGCUACUGUGAGAGUCUCGACUCUCUGGGUAAGCAUUAUUAUAUAUAGUGUAUCAAAUGAUGAAGUAUUGUGUCAAAUACUUGUUUAUUAAUGUAGGCUUAAUUGAAUAGUGAUGAAAAAAUGACAAUAAAACUUGAAUUAUAUAUAAAUUUAUAUGUAACUCCAUGCUGUUUUAAUACCUUUUCAAACAUCCAGUGGUCCAGGGUCCCAUUUUCCCACAAUACUGUAUGUAGUAUGCCAUAAACUGGGUUAACUAACCAAUGUCAUCACUAUAAGUAUUACAACUAUGAUUAGAAUCUUUGAGAAAUAAAGUUUUACAAGUGAACACUAUAAUUUCCUCUGCAGUUACAUAUUCAUUAUAUUUGGAGGGUCACCAAUUACAGUCCAAAUGUAACUUUAGUUCACCAAACCAAGUGUGCAGGUUGUUAUAUUAAAUAAUACAUGCAAUAAAUGUUAUCACUGUCCUACAUCUUCAUCUCAUGUAUCUCAUAUAUUUACUUUUCUCAGAUUCUACCACCUCUUUUUCAUACCAAUUUGUGUAUAUUUAAUGCCCAAUGUUAUGGUGAUAUGUACAUGGUCGCAAUCUAGGAGUGUAGGACAUUAGCCCUUUGGGACAUUAGCCCCUAGGACAUUAGCCCCUUUGGACAUUAGCCCCUAGGACAUUUGCCCCUUAGGACAAUAGCCCCUAUCUAUUUUUACAUUCAUUUUUUAGGUAAUUUCACCUUUUUUUAAUUAGUGGAAUUAAUGUUGUUGUUUUUUUUAAACAGCAACAACAACACGUUAUGUUACUUAUGUAUCUAAUUAUAAGGUAAUUUUAGACUUCUGGAUGGUGUCAGAUAGCAAAAUGUUGGCAAAUAGAGUCCAAAGAAAAAAAUAAAAAAUAAAAAAAAAAAGACACAAAAAUGUAUGUGUGUGGUACAAGCUAUAUAUUGUUUGUUUUUAGAUAUGAAAUUUAAAAAAUGGAAUAAAAAUGCUUAUGUAAAAAAAGUUUUGAACCUAGGGGCUUUUGUCCUAGAGGGCUAAUGUCCGUACCCCGCAAUCUAGACGAAGUGCAUAUGUCCAAGAAUGUUAACAACUGUCUUAACUAAAAUUUGAUGGGGGGGGGGCAUAUUAGGAGUGUAGUACAUUAGCCCUCUGGGACAUUAGCCCCUUGGACAUUAGCCCCUUUGGACAUUAGCCCCCUAGGACAUUUGCCCCUUAGCACAUUAGCCCCUACCUACUUUUACAUUCAUUUUUUAGGUAUUUAAUUUCAUCUUUUUUUUAAAUUAAUGGAAUUAAUGGGUUAUUUUUUUUUUAAACAGCAACAACAACACAAUAUGUUACUUAUGUAUCUUAUUGUAAGAUAAUUUUAGACUUCUGGAUGGUGUCAGAUAGCAAAAUUUUGCAAAAUAAAUAGAGUUCGAAGAAAAAAUAGUAAAGAAAUUGUAAAAAAAAAACACUAAAAUGUACGCGUGUGGUACAAGCUAUAUAUUGUUUGUAUGAACAUAUGAAAUUUAAAAAUAUGGCAUAAAAAUGCUGACUUAAAAUAAAAAAAGGUUUUGAAAAUUUUACAUGUAAAACACCUUGGGGCUUAUGUCCUAGUGUGCACUUUUUUGAAGGGGCUUUUGUCCUAGGGGCUUUUGUCCUAGGGGCUAAUGUCCUAGAGGUUAAUGUCCAAGAGGGCUAAUGUCCGUACCCCGCAUAUUAGACAUUAGCAACGAACAGCACAAAAACACUUGACACAAGUUAUGGAGCAUCCCGGGGAAUUUACUGGAUUAAAGCAAUUUGAGGGUUAAGGGAAAGUGUUCAGCUUGAAACGUCACAUUUGACUCUAUUAUACAUGAACAAGUCAUUAGAAUAUAUUACUAUUGCUAAAAUUGCUUAAUGUUAUAAUUGUGCAUGUUCAAUAUGUCUGGUGCAUUACAAAUAGUGUCUAGUUUAUUUUCUACAUUGUCAGAUACAAGUUUAAAUAGGCAACAUAAGUUUUUAAGAUUUAAUUAAUAAAUAACAACACAACUGUUACAUAUUUUAGGAAACAAUGGUUAUUUUUUUACUAUACUAAAAGUCCAGUACUUUAAAGGGAUCUUUUCACACUUUGGUAAAUUGACAAAAUUGAAAAAAGUUGUUUCAGAUUCGAACAUUUUCGUUUUAGUUGUGAUAUUUGUGAGGAAACAGUAAUACUGAACAUUUACCAUGCUCUAAUAUAGCCAUUAUAUGCAUCUUUUGACGAUUUUAAAACCUAAAAAUUAUAAAGCGUUGCAACGCGAAACGAUUGAAUAAUGUGGAGAGUUCUGUUUUUGUCGUUAAAUUUUGUGAAACUACGAAGAUUGCUUAUAUAACGUAUAAAAUACAUCCGGAAUGUGUACUCGGCGGAAUAGCUCAGUAGGCUAAAGCGUUUUUACUUCAGGACUCUGGCAGGACUCCAGGGGUGACUGGUUCGAAACCUGCUCCGGGCAAUGUUCUUUUCCUUUUUUAAAUUUUAUUCUUGAUCUUUUACUGGAGCUUUUACGAUCCAAUGUUUACAUUUAUUAAUAUAAAGCAUUUAAUGAAUAAGUUAAAAAAAUGCCAAAAUCUGUGAAAAGGCCCCUUUAAAUUCGAAAUGACAUGGUCAGCAAUGUAAAAAUGAUGCAGAUGAACACUACAUAAAUUGGCAUGUUAACAAGUUCACUUGAUACUUCACAUGUGCAUUGGCCUUGUACCAAUUUUAUGACUUGAUUUAGGUUUUAAGAUUGCAUUGUGAUAUUUUAUACUGCAUACAAAUUAUUAUGCCCCCUUCGAAGAAGAGGGGGUAUAUUGCUUUGCUCAUGUAGGUCUGUCGGUCCGUCGGUCUGUCGGUCCGUCCACCAGGUGGUUGUCAGACGAUAACUCAAGAACGCUUGGGCCUAGGAUCAUGAAACUUCAUAGGUACAUUGAUCAUGACUCGCAGAUGACCCCUAUUGAUUUUGAGGUCACUAGGUCAAAGGUCAAGGUCACGGUGACCCAAAAUAGUAAAAUGGUUUCCGGAUGAUAACUCAAGAACGCUUAGGCCUAGGAUCAUGAAACUUGAUUGGUAGAUUGAUCAUGACUCGCAGAUGACCCCUAUUGAUUUUCAGGUCACUAGGUCAAAGGUCAAGGUCACAGUGACCCGAAAUAGUAAAAUGGUUUCCGGAUGAUAACUCAAGAACGCUUAGGCCUAGGAUCAUGAAUCUUGAUAGGUAGAUUGAUCAGGACUCGCAGAUGACCCCUAUUGAUUUUGAGGUCACUAGGUCAAAGGUCAAGGUCACAGUGACCCGAAAUAGUAAAAUGGUUUCCGGAUGAUAACUCAAGAACGCUUAGGCCUAGGAUCAUGAAACUUGAUAGGUAGAUUGAUCAUGACUCGCAGAUGACCCCUAUUGAUUUUCAGGUCACUAGGUCAAAGGUCAAGGUCACGAUGACCUGAAAUAGUAAAAUGGUUUCCGGAUGAUAACUGAAGAACGCUUAUUCCUAGGAUCAUGAAACUUGAUAGGUAGAAUGAUCAUGACUCGCAGAUGACCCCUAUUGAUUUUCAGGUCACUAGGUCAAAGGUCAAGGUCACGGUGACCCGAAAUAGUAAAAUGGUGUCCGGAUGAUAACUCAAGAAUGCUUAUGGCUAGUAUCAUGAAACUUCAUAGGUACAUUGAUCAUGACUGGCAGAUGACCUCUAUUGAUUUUCCGGUCACUAGGUCAAAGGUCAAGGUCACAGUGACAAAAAACAUAUUCACACAAUGGCUCUCACUACAACAGAGAGCCCAUAUGGGGGGCAUGCAUGUUUUACAAACAGCCCUUGUGUUAAUGUUAUGUCUUGGAAUGAAAUUAAUGUUACUUGAUGUUAAUAAAGAAGUCAUUAUGA